GUUUAACGGCCUCGGUAUUCUGACCGCGCGAAGGUAGCAUAAUAACUUGUUCUUUAAAUAGGGACUAGUAUCAACGGCAUCACGAGGGUUAUCCUGUCUCCUUUCUCUAAUCAGUGAACCUAACCUCUUCGUGAAGAGGCGAAGAUGAAUUUAUAAGACGAGAAGACCCCAUGGAGCUUAAAACAUAAGAAACAGUUUCUUUUCUACAAACCCUAAAAAAUAAGAAAACCUGUUAGCUAGUUUUCGGCUGGGGUGCCCAAGGAGAAUAACCAAACCUCCCUGACGACCAUUAUCCAAGAACGGACGGUUCAAAGAAACAAUAAAUUGACGCAAAAUGACCCGAUUUUAAUAAUCGAUCAACGAACCAAGUUACCCUGGGGAUAACAGCGCAAUCCAUUUCAAGAGCCCCUAUCGACAAAUGGG
This 423-nucleotide ribosomal RNA is filed under the name Phrynobatrachus parvulus (dwarf puddle frog). Its description in RNAcentral is "partial 16S ribosomal RNA". It matches the Rfam family "Bacterial large subunit ribosomal RNA", at positions 1922 to 2516 of the family's 2925-position model. The record is from RNAcentral. Lineage: Eukaryota; Metazoa; Chordata; Amphibia; Anura; Phrynobatrachidae.